This 364-nucleotide unclassified non-coding RNA is filed under the name uncultured bacterium. RNAcentral's name for it is "contains 16S-23S intergenic spacer region". The record is from RNAcentral.
UCCCUGUAAACCAGGGCAGUCCCCCGUGAGUGAUACAACACAGGGUAGGGGUUGCGCUCGUUUGCCCACUGAAGGGAACAUCUCACGACACGAGCUGACGACGACCGUGCAACACCUGUCACUUGGCUCCCGAAGGCACUCCACCGUUUCUGGCGGAUUCCAAGGAUGUCAAGCCCAGGUAAGGUUCCUCGCUUAUUGUCGAAUUAAACCACACGCUCCACCGCUUGUGCGAGCCCCCGUCAAUUCCUUUGAGUUUUAGUCUUGCGACCGUACUUCCCAGGCGGUGCACUUACCGCGUUAGCUGCGCUACCAGCAGGGUCGAUACUGCUAAUAGCUAGUGCACAUCGUUUACAGCGUGGACUAC